This 492-nucleotide ribosomal RNA is filed under the name uncultured bacterium. RNAcentral describes it as "partial 16S ribosomal RNA". It matches the Rfam family "Bacterial small subunit ribosomal RNA", at positions 29 to 507 of the family's 1533-position model. The record is from RNAcentral.
AGUGAACGCUGGCGGUAGGCCUAACACAUGCAAGUCGAAUGGCAGCACAGUAAGAGCUUGCUCUUACGGGUGGCGAGUGGCGGACGGGUGAGGAAUACAUCGGAAUCUACUUUUUCGUGGGGGAUAACGUAGGGAAACUUACGCUAAUACCGCAUACGACCUACGGGUGAAAGCAGGGGAUCUUCGGACCUUGCGCGAUUGAAUGAGCCGAUGUCGGAUUAGCUAGUUGGCGGGGUAAAGGCCCACCAAGGCGACGAUCCGUAGCUGGUCUGAGAGGAUGAUCAGCCACACUGGAACUGAGACACGGUCCAGACUCCUACGGGAGGCAGCAGUGGGGAAUAUUGGACAAUGGGCGUAAGCCUGAUCCAGCCAUACCGCGUGGGUGAAGAAGGCCUUCGGGUUGUAAAGCCCUUUUGUUGGGAAAGAAAAGCAGCAGGUUAAUACCCCGCUGUUCUGACGGUACCCAAAGAAUAAGCACCGGCUAACUUCGUG